RNAcentral lists this ribosomal RNA (785 nucleotides) under Limosilactobacillus reuteri. Its description in RNAcentral is "bacterial SSU rRNA". It matches the Rfam family "Bacterial small subunit ribosomal RNA", at positions 1 to 741 of the family's 1533-position model. Lineage: Bacteria; Bacillati; Bacillota; Bacilli; Lactobacillales; Lactobacillaceae. The record is from RNAcentral.
UUUUAUAUGAGAGUUUGAUCCUGGCUCAGGAUGAACGCCGGCGGUGUGCCUAAUACAUGCAAGUCGUACGCACUGGCCCAACUGAUUGAUGGUGCUUGCACCGGAUUGACGAUGGAUCACCAGUGAGUGGCGGACGGGUGAGUAACACGUAGGUAACCUGCCCCGGAGCGGGGAUAACAUUUGGAAACAGAUGCUAAUACCGCAUAACAACAAAAGCCACAUGGCUUUUGUUUGAAAGAUGGCUUUGGCUAUCACUCUGGGAUGGACCUGCGGUGCAUUAGCUAGUUGGUAAGGUAACGGCUUACCAAGGCGAUGAUGCAUAGCCGAGUUGAGAGACUGAUCGGCCACAAUGGAACUGAGACACGGUCCAUACUCCUACGGGAGGCAGCAGUAGGGAAUCUUCCACAAUGGGCGCAAGCCUGAUGGAGCAACACCGCGUGAGUGAAGAAGGGUUUCGGCUCGUAAAACUCUGUUGUUGGAGAAGAACGUGCGUGAGAGUAACUGUUCACGCAGUGACGGUAUCCAACCAGAAAGUCACGGCUAACUACGUGCCAGCAGCCGCGGUAAUACGUAGGUGGCAAGCGUUAUCCGGAUUUAUUGGGCGUAAAGCGAGCGCAGGCGGUUGCUUAGGUCUGAUGUGAAAGCCUUCGGCUUAACCGAAGAAGUGCAUCGGAAACCGGGCGACUUGAGUGCAGAAGAGGACAGUGGAACUCCAUGUGUAGCGGUGGAAUGCGUAGAUAUAUGGAAGAACACCAGUGGCGAAGGCGGCUGUCUGGUCUGCAACU